This 388-nucleotide unclassified non-coding RNA is filed under the name Hevea brasiliensis (rubber tree). The record is from RNAcentral. Lineage: Eukaryota; Viridiplantae; Streptophyta; Magnoliopsida; Malpighiales; Euphorbiaceae.
AACGGUUUGCUCAACAUUAUGCUUGUCAUGUUUGGUUUGUAGCACAUCCCAGACAGUUACACAACUGGAUUGGGGGUCCUCCCAAUCUGUAUGAUAUAAGUGGCAGUGCCCACUUCAUAAACAAAUGCGACAAUGGGAUUGUUAUUCAUCGUAACAGGGAUCCAGAGGCUGGACCUAUUGAUCAAGUACAGGUUUGUGUUCGGAAGGUGCGAAAUAAGGUUGUUGGAACCAUAGGUGAUGCCUUUUUGUCCUAUAAUAGGGUAACUGGUGAAUUCAUGGAUAUUGUUUAAAUCACCUGGAAAGAAGACACGCAGUUAUGCAGUAUAUACUUGUAUAUUUUAUUAGGAGAGAGAGAGAGAGAUGAUGUCUUGUUGAAAUAUGCUUCCAA